GAGUCUGCAACUCGACUCCAUGAAGUCGGAAUCGCUAGUAAUCGUGAAUCAGAAUGUCACGGUGAAUACGUUCCCGGGCCUUGUACACACCGCCCGUCACACCAUGGGAGUGGGCUGCACCAGAGUAGAUAGCUUAACCUUCGGGAGGGCGUUUACCACGGUGUGGUUCAUGACUGGGGUGAAGUCGUAACAAGGUAGCCCUAGGGGAACCUGGGGCUGGAUCACCUCCUUAACGA
Molecule: ribosomal RNA, 236 nt
Filed under: Enterovibrio calviensis FF-85
Lineage: Bacteria; Pseudomonadati; Pseudomonadota; Gammaproteobacteria; Vibrionales; Vibrionaceae
Description: partial 16S ribosomal RNA
Rfam family: Bacterial small subunit ribosomal RNA
Source: RNAcentral